AUGCGCAAAUACUCAAUUUGGCACUUCCCAUACAGGCAAAAGUGCUACCUUAAAUUUGUAGCUCUGAUAAAAAAAUCAUUUCAAACGUAUCUGAUGGUAAAAAAGAUAAUGACGGGAAAACUGCACACCAUUCAUCCAAGUGAAAGUCAGAGUUUCUCUUCUGAAGAGUACUUACUAUAUAGAACCACAUCUUUGUCAGGUUUAUUCUGGAUAACUGGGAAUACAUGUUUCAGGAGCCUAUUGUUUCUGUUGAUCGCAGUUACUAUCUUGUGUAGGUUGCAAUAUCUGCCAGCUUUGUAUUCUUUUUGUCAAUUUUUUGUUGGUAGGUUGGUCCAUUCGGUAAAACUUAAAACUUCUGAAAUAGACAUCUAUGGAUAUGGACAUGCUAAACAUUUUCAGGAAUGUAAGAAGGCAGUAUAG
This 420-nucleotide ribosomal RNA is filed under the name Triticum aestivum (bread wheat). RNAcentral's name for it is "partial small subunit ribosomal RNA". Lineage: Eukaryota; Viridiplantae; Streptophyta; Magnoliopsida; Poales; Poaceae. The record is from RNAcentral.